UUAAACGAGAGUUUGAUCCUGGCUCAGAAUCAACGCUGGCGGCGUGCCUAACACAUGCAAGUCGAACGAGAAAGGGUAGCAAUACCUGAGUAAAGUGGCGCACGGGUGAGUAACACGUGACUAACCUACCCUGGAGUGGGGGAUAACUAAGAGAAAUCUUGGCUAAUACCGCAUAAUACCUACGGGUCAAAGGAGCAAUUCGCUUCAGGAGGGGGUCGCGGCCGAUUAGUUAGUUGGCGGGGUAAUGGCCCACCAAGACAGUGAUCGGUAUCCGGCCUGAGAGGGCGCACGGACACACUGGAACUGAAACACGGUCCAGACUCCU
RNAcentral lists this ribosomal RNA (325 nucleotides) under Occallatibacter sp. Its description in RNAcentral is "partial 16S ribosomal RNA". It matches the Rfam family "Bacterial small subunit ribosomal RNA", at positions 1 to 340 of the family's 1533-position model. Lineage: Bacteria; Pseudomonadati; Acidobacteriota; Terriglobia; Terriglobales; Acidobacteriaceae. The record is from RNAcentral.